UGCCUCAGUAACGGCGAGUGAAGCGGCAACAGCUCAAAUUUGAAAUCUGGCCCUUUCAGGGUCCGAGUUGUAAUUUGCAGAGGGUGCUUUGGCGUUGGCCGUGGUCUAAGUUCCUUGGAACAGGACGUCACAGAGGGUGAGAAUCCCGUACGUGGCCGCCGGUCUUCGCCGUGUAAAGCCCCUUCGACGAGUCGAGUUGUUUGGGAAUGCAGCUCUAAAUGGGAGAUACAUUUCUUCUAAAGCUAAAUAUUGGCCAGAGACCGAUAGCGCACAAGUAGAGUGAUCGAAAGAUGAAAAGCACUUUGGAAAGAGAGUCAAAAAGCACGUGAAAUUGUUGAAAGGGAAGCGCUUGCAGCCAGACGUGCCCGCAGUUGCUCACCCAGGCUCUUGCCUGGGGCACUCUUCUGCGGGCAGGCCAGCAUCAGUUCGGGCGGUUGGAUAAAGGUCUCUAUCACGUACCACCCUUCGGGGUGUCCUUAUAGGGGAGACGCAACACGGCCAGCCUGAACUGAGGACCGCGCAUCAGCUAGGAUGCUGGCGUAAUGGCUGUAAGCGGCCCGUCUUGAAACACGGACCAAGGAGUCUAACAUCUAUGCGAGUGUUUGGGUGUAAAGCCCGGGCGCGCAAUGAAAGUGAACGGAGGUGGGAACCCUUUGGGUGCACCAUCGACCGAUCCUGAAGUCUUCGGAUGGAUUUGAGUAAGAGCAUAGCUGUUGGGACCCGAAAGAUGGUGAACUAUGCCUGAAUAGGGUGAAGCCAGGGGAAACCCUGGUGGAGGCUCGCAGCGGUUCUGACGUGCAAAU
This 803-nucleotide ribosomal RNA is filed under the name Neoroussoella solani. RNAcentral's name for it is "eukaryotic LSU rRNA". It matches the Rfam family "Eukaryotic large subunit ribosomal RNA", at positions 76 to 898 of the family's 3401-position model. Lineage: Eukaryota; Fungi; Ascomycota; Dothideomycetes; Pleosporales; Thyridariaceae. The record is from RNAcentral.